This 465-nucleotide ribosomal RNA is filed under the name uncultured bacterium. RNAcentral's name for it is "partial 16S ribosomal RNA". It matches the Rfam family "Bacterial small subunit ribosomal RNA", at positions 338 to 795 of the family's 1533-position model. The record is from RNAcentral.
CCUACGGGAGGCAGCAGUGGGGAAUAUUGCGCAAUGGGCGAAAGCCUGACGCAGCGACGCCGCGUGAGGGAUGAAGGUCUUCGGAUCGUAAACCUCUGUCAGCAGGGAAGAACGGUCACUGUGCUAAUCAGCAGUGAAUUGACGGUACCUGCAAAGGAAGCACCGGCUAACUCCGUGCCAGCAGCCGCGGUAAUACGGAGGGUGCGAGCGUUAAUCGGAAUUACUGGGCGUAAAGCGCUCGUAGGCGGUCUGUCAAGUCAAGGGUGAAAUCCCCGCGCUCAACGUGGGAACUGCCGUUGAAACUGGCAGACUGGAGUGUGUGAGAGGAUAGUGGAAUGCCAGGUGUAGGAGUGAAAUCCGUAGAUAUCUGGAGGAACAUCAGUGGCGAAGGCGACUAUCUGGCACAUAACUGACGCUGAGGAGCGAAAGCGUGGGUAGCAAACAGGAUUAGAUACCCGUGUAGUC